AGGUGAUUUGUGGAGCCUAUUUUUUUUAACACUGCUUCUUGCCAUACAAGUGUCAAUAAAAGUUCACCCACUCUAGUUGGUAACAAAUAAGACAGGAGAGUCACAAACACAUCUCACUUGUUGAAAUUCUUCUGAUCAUACGUGUAACAAAAAAAAAAAAAAAAAAGGUAACCACUGUAAAGUCACAUGCUUGUCCAUGCCUCCAUUUAUUCCUCUUCGCUUUACGCUCUUUAUGCACGUUGGGGUUCUCAUCCUUAGGAGUUAUUCCUUGACAGCGUCACCAGAGGUUUUCUUCGCAAGUUGCAGCCGGUAUUUUUUUUAAAGGUGUGAAGAGACGCCUUGCGUUGAGAAUUGACGGCGCUGCAAACCAUCUCAUGACUUCCAGUCAAACUGCAACUGUCAGGAGGCCUCUUCUGAGAAGUAGCUGCCUCUUUCUCGCUGUCACUCUCGGCCUCCGCACUCAACCGUCUUCAUUGACAGACAUGGGAUGGAGAGAAGCUCCAAAGAGUUGGGGGGUUUUCUUGGUGUGAUCUCCGAUAAGACACAUUGCUUUUUCACGCAUACACACGCGAUGCAAGCACGCGACAGCAGCUCUUGCGGGGUGCAGUUAUUGUUGUUGUGCUUGCUUGUCAUAAUGAGGGUUGGAUCCGCACGGCAAAGCAAAGCGAGCCUACCUGUCAUGCUGGUGUUAGCACGUGUUGUUUUCCAUUGCUGUUUUAUUUUUGACGUCAGCAGCAGUCACGCAUGCUGACGGCUGCACUGCAAUUUGGCAUGACAUUUUGUAUAUCUGUUCACCUCGUCCCACUCGCUGACAGCAAAACACUGCGCCUACCUAUCAGCACUUUUUAAUUGCCUUCAAAUAGCAACAUUGUUAAAAGAAAAAAAAUAUAUACAAAUCGGCGUGCAUGAGUUGUGUUUCUAAACAGUAUUCCAUUUCAUUGUAAAAAAAAAAAAAAGAUGUCUUUAAUUGAUUAAACUUGGAAUUCAAACCCUGAACCACCGAAUUGUGAAGCAGAUUUGCUCACAAGGGCAUAAAAUCAUAUUGUGUGUUAUUUUGUAGAACUGUA
Hippocampus comes (tiger tail seahorse) is the source of this 1067-nucleotide long non-coding RNA. RefSeq lists it as uncharacterized. The record is from RefSeq and is a predicted model, not a curated record. The transcript has 3 exons. Lineage: Eukaryota; Metazoa; Chordata; Actinopteri; Syngnathiformes; Syngnathidae.